RNAcentral lists this ribosomal RNA (753 nucleotides) under uncultured bacterium. RNAcentral's name for it is "bacterial SSU rRNA". It matches the Rfam family "Bacterial small subunit ribosomal RNA", at positions 8 to 755 of the family's 1533-position model. The record is from RNAcentral.
AGAGUUUGAUCAUGGCUCAGAUUGAACGCUGGCGGCAGGCCUAACACAUGCAAGUCGAGCGGAUGACGGGAGCUUGCUCCUUGAUUCAGCGGCGGACGGGUGAGUAAUGCCUAGGAAUCUGCCUGGUAGUGGGGGACAACGUUUCGAAAGGAACGCUAAUACCGCAUACGUCCUACGGGAGAAAGCAGGGGACCUUCGGGCCUUGCGCUAUCAGAUGAGCCUAGGUCGGAUUAGCUAGUUGGUGAGGUAAUGGCUCACCAAGGCGACGAUCCGUAACUGGUCUGAGAGGAUGAUCAGUCACACUGGAACUGAGACACGGUCCAGACUCCUACGGGAGGCAGCAGUGGGGAAUAUUGGACAAUGGGCGAAAGCCUGAUCCAGCCAUGGCCGCGUGUGUGAAGAAGGUCUUCGGAUUGUAAAGCACUUUAAGUUGGGAGGAAGGGCAGUAAGUUAAUACCUUGCUGUUUUGACGUUACCGACAGAAUAAGCACCGGCUAACUCUGUGCCAGCAGCCGCGGUAAUACAGAGGGUGCAAGCGUUAAUCGGAAUUACUGGGCGUAAAGCGCGCGUAGGUGGUUCGUUAAGUUGGAUGUGAAAGCCCCGGGCUCAACCUGGGAACUGCAUCCAAAACUGGCGAGCUAGAGUACGGUAGAGGGUGGUGGAAUUUCCUGUGUAGCGGUGAAAUGCGUAGAUAUAGGAAGGAACACCAGUGGCGAAGGCGACCACCUGGACUGAUACUGACACUGAGGUGCG